GAUGAAACAUGCUGGAAGAACACUGAACAAUCUCAUGGAUGAAUCCACCUUCCUCCACUGCCCUCCACCUGCUUAGAAAAAAACAUUCAGCACACCAAUUUCACCAUUACAGCUGAACUGUAGGCUGUUGCAGAUACUUUGAGCCUUGAGGGAGUCCCAAAGGAGGACCAGUUUUUGACCAGAGGAGGAUGGGUCCCCCCUUUUGAGCCAUGGUUCCUCCUAAGGUUUCUUCCUCCACCUUUGAGGGAGUUUUUCCUUUCCUCUGUUGCCUCUGGAUUGCUCACUGGGGGUGUUCAUUUUUGUUUUUUAAUAAAAAACAAACAAACAAAAGAA
Molecule: long non-coding RNA, 333 nt
Organism: Astyanax mexicanus (Mexican tetra)
Lineage: Eukaryota; Metazoa; Chordata; Actinopteri; Characiformes; Acestrorhamphidae
Exons: 2
Source: RefSeq, a predicted model, not a curated record